This 301-nucleotide ribosomal RNA is filed under the name uncultured bacterium. RNAcentral describes it as "partial 16S ribosomal RNA". It matches the Rfam family "Bacterial small subunit ribosomal RNA", at positions 509 to 809 of the family's 1533-position model. The record is from RNAcentral.
CAGUGGCCACGGGAAUACAGAGGGUGCGAGCGUUAAUCGGAUUUACUGGGCGUAAAGCGUGCGUAGGCGGCUUUUUAAGUCGUAUGUGAAAUCCCUGAGCUUAACUUAGGAAUUGCAUUCGAUACUGGGAAGCUAGAGUAUGGGAGAGGAUGGUAGAAUUCCAGGUGUAGCGGUGAAAUGCGUAGAGAUCUGGAGGAAUACCGAUGGCGAAGGCAGCCAUCUGGCCUAAUACUGACGCUGAGGUACGAAAGCAUGGGGAGCAAACAGGAUUAGAUACCCCUGUAGUCCCUGUCUCUUAUAU